GCACGUGAGGGUGAUCAGACCAUGAUAUCUGUCACCUUAUUGAUCACCACGGCUAAUUUGGCUAAUACCAAUGGCUUGGUGGGUUUCCAUUUCUUUUCUCACCAAUCCAUGUGAGCAUCACCCUCAUGAAAGAAGCUAUGUGCUGAGUAGAGGAGAACGGCUUUCCCCAAUAACGGGGUCCAGUUUUCCAUCCAGGUUAAAAGAAUAACUGUACUCCCCCACUAGAAUACACUAAACAAGCCACCAAGAUUCAUUUAAGAAUGUAUUCCUUACUAAUAUCCCAAAAUUGUGAGGUUCUAUACAAGGACCAUAUCGA
Molecule: small nuclear RNA, 316 nt
Filed under: Neotoma lepida (desert woodrat)
Lineage: Eukaryota; Metazoa; Chordata; Mammalia; Rodentia; Cricetidae
Description: 7SK RNA
Rfam family: 7SK RNA
About the family: 7SK was discovered as an abundant small nuclear RNA in the mid-70s but a possible function has only recently been suggested. Two independent studies have found that 7SK RNA binds the CDK9/cyclin T complex (known as elongation factor P-TEFb).
Source: Rfam by way of RNAcentral